GGACCCGCACAAGCGGUGGAGCAUGUGGUUUAAUUCGACGCAACGCGAAGAACCUUACCAGGGCUUGACAUCCCGCGCUAGGCUUGGAAACAAGCUGUUCUGGCCUUCGGGCCGGACGCGGAGACAGGUGGUGCAUGGUUGUCGUCAGCUCGUGUCGUGAGAUGUUGGGUUAAGUCCCGCAACGAGCGCAACCCCUACUUUUAGUUGCCAUCAUUCAGUUGGGCACUCUAAAGGAACUGCCGGUGACAAACCGGAGGAAGGUGGGGAUGACGUCAAAUCAUCAUGCCCUUUAUGUCCUGGGCUACACACGUGCUACAAUGGUCGGUACAAAGGGUUGCAAAGGAGCGAUCUGGAGCCAAUCCCAAAAAGCCGGUCUCAGUUCGGAUUGCAGGCUGCAACCCGCCUGCAUGAAGUCGGAAUCGCUAGUAAUCGCGAGUCAGCAUAUCGCGGUGAAUACGUUCCCGGGUCUU
This 470-nucleotide ribosomal RNA is filed under the name uncultured bacterium. RNAcentral describes it as "bacterial SSU rRNA". It matches the Rfam family "Bacterial small subunit ribosomal RNA", at positions 917 to 1382 of the family's 1533-position model. The record is from RNAcentral.